AACGGUGAUUAAUACCUCAUAAAGCAUAGAUAACACAUGUUAAAGAUGUCAAAGAGAAUUCGGUAUGGGAUGGGCCUGCGUCUGAUUAGUUAGUUGGUGAGGUAACGGCUCACCAAGGCGACGAUCAGUAGCCGACCUGAGAGGGUAGGCGGCCACAUUGGAACUGAGACACGGUCCAGACUCCUACGGGAGGCAGCAGUGGGGAAUAUUGCACAAUGGGCGAAAGCCUGAUGCAGCAACGCCGUGUGAAUGAAGAAGGCCUUAGGGUCGUAAAAUUCUGUCCUAAGGGAAGAAAAAGAUGACGUACCUUAGGAGGAGCCC
RNAcentral lists this ribosomal RNA (321 nucleotides) under Peptostreptococcaceae bacterium oral taxon 103. RNAcentral's name for it is "bacterial SSU rRNA". It matches the Rfam family "Bacterial small subunit ribosomal RNA", at positions 155 to 492 of the family's 1533-position model. Lineage: Bacteria; Bacillati; Bacillota; Clostridia; Peptostreptococcales; Peptostreptococcaceae. The record is from RNAcentral.